RNAcentral lists this long non-coding RNA (7956 nucleotides) under Aquilegia coerulea. RNAcentral describes it as "long non-coding RNA (ACOE_LNC000667)". Lineage: Eukaryota; Viridiplantae; Streptophyta; Magnoliopsida; Ranunculales; Ranunculaceae. The record is from RNAcentral.
GAAAUCAUAGGAGAAAUUCAUUGAAAUACGCCAAUGAAGGAGAAGAAGAAGAGAAGGUAGUUUGUCACCAUGGAAGUGCAAAGAGUGUAAAUGUAAUAACGCAGUUCUGUAUCUCAGUGUUGUUCGAAUUGGAAGUAAGGUGCAAUUUGUCACUCAUUGUCAUAAUUCAAAUUGAACUGUCAACAAGCCAUUGAAGUUCUGCAGAUGUCACUCAUUGAACAGUUCAUCCAUGUACUUAAUGGUUUGAAUUUAGCCUUUACAUCUAUGAACCAAAGUUUUCUUGAUUUAACUUGUGCAGGGUAACACUUCAGAACUGAUCAAGGUGGGUGCCUAUAUGCGAUGAAACAAAAUUCCAUGAGGACUUAAUGUGGCUCGAGCAGAGGGAGGUAAUGUUGUUGACUUGCCUUGUAAAUUCUUUAAAAUUAAUAUAUACACAGUCUCAAAGCCAGUUAUAAAAUAUGUGUUUAUGCAACUAUGGAAUUGUUUUGUUUUUCAAGUUUGUUAAGUUUGUAAAAAUCAUAUAUUUAGUCCUUUCAAUUCUGCAGUGGAUUGUUCUUUCCUUUACAUUUUGUUGUUGGUAUUAUUAUUUGUUUUGGUGGUUCCUAACUUAAAAUUUGUAGAUGAAAUACCACGGAAUAUGGAACUCACAGAGUUUAGGUUACUGUAACGAUUAUAUCAAUACAAAAAGAAGAAACUACAACACUGAAACUUUCUACAAGUUUUGAACAAAAGAAGCAACAUAUUUCACACUUGAGAGAGAACAUCCACCAUGCUUGGAUGUGGCUUACACAUAGCAACCAAGGGAUUAGCCUUAGGCAUGAUAACCCCCGUGUUAGCUUCUUCCAUUUCCACUUGCUCUUGCCCAACUUUUUCCCACUCAAAGCACUGAAUGAGUGUACCCAAAGCCAAUGUCACCACACGUAGAGCCAAGCCAGCACCAGGGCACCCUCUUCUUCCCACUCCAAAUGGCAUGAAUUUGAACCCCAUUUCCCUUUCACUUUGUACACCUUCAAACCUCUCAGGCAUGAAUUUAGUUGGCUCUACCCACACCUUGGGGUCCCUAUGAAUGGCCCCAACAUUUGUGAACAAUAUUGUUCCACGUGGGAUAUUAUAUCUUCCAACUGUGCACUCUUUUGAUGAAGAAUGGGGCACUAGAAGUGGUGCUGCUGGAUACAACCUCAGUGUCUCAUUGAUGACACAAUGGAGGUAGGGAAGCUUCACGAGAUCAUAGUCGUCUAGUAAGCGGCCUUGGACAUUGUGGUUGAUUUCUGAGCGCGCUUUUUGGAGUACAUCUGGAUGGUUGAGUAGAAGUGACAUAGUCCAUUCCAACGUCAAGCUUGUUGUGUGUGUUCCGGCUGUGAACAUUGUCUAUCCACAAAAAAGAAACAAGCAUGUUAGCUAGGAAUCAGAUGUGUGGCAUCCAAGUAUUAAUGUCUGGUUCUUAAAAUACUUGACUUUGGUGGAGUUUCAGAGAGAGGCACUCCACAAACUUGCAUGGGGGAGGAAUGGAGGGCCCAACAUUUUUUUGUACCUAUCUCUCUUCGUUUAUAGGGAAUAUAAAUAUCCUGCUAUAGGAAUUAAUUUCACUUAUGAUUUGCCUAAUACAUUCAAAAUUUGAGAAGUCACUCAUGAGCAAAUCAGUUAGAGUGUUUGGAAGCAUCUGAUUGUGAUGAGUAUUGAUGCCAGACUUAAUUUCCUACCUAAAAAAGAGCUAACCUCUUCUUAGUUAUACUUGUUCAGCCAGCAAUAUUUAAGAACUAAAGAAGCAGAUGAUAGUUCAAUUUUGUUCUGGUAUUGGGCAGUUUGAUUAAUACCUUGCAAAUUGGAGUUGGAACCUUGGUUCCAGCUUCAGUUCGAUCAUUUUUCAGAGGAGCUGGGUAUUUAUGGUUUGGAACCUUUAACAUCAGGAAUGGAGUAGGAAGUGUGAACGAACAUUAACGACCUGCAUGUUCCAAAUUCCAAUUAGUAUACAGUAUGAACUCUUACCAAUAUAAUUCCCUUGAUGACAUUAUCGGAGUACUGCUCAGGUUCUGCUUCUUGGAUGGACAAGAGGGUUUCAAUUAUGGUUGUUUUCUUCUUAUCUUCUGCUAGGGUUGUAGUUGAAGAAAUAGUCUUCUUCUUUCGAAACUCGUCUAUCAAAUUCUGUAAAAACGAGUCUCUCCUUUUGUGCAACUUGAUCAUGUACUUCUUUUCUCUAUAUAGUCCAAUCCAGCUCAAAAUAGGCAAAAAGUCUCCCAAAUCUAAUAGCAUACUACUUGGAGCAAAUAUAUCUUUCAGAAGAACAUAAAGCCGCUUCUGUUCAUCCAAGUCCAGAAACUCUUCGAAACAUCGUUUCCCAGCUACUAACAUCAUCAUAAUAUUAAACAUAAGUUGAGAAAAUAUGAACUUCGAAUCAAAAUGUUGUAAUCCACCAUUGGAUCUUCGAAACAAACUAUUAACCAGAUGAUGAAUUUCUUCUUUCCGGAUCCUUGCAGACAUUUGUAGACUCUUAGCUGAGAAUAUCUCAAUCGUAGUUAUGCGCCGCAUGUUCCGCCAAUGGUAACCAUAUGGGGACGAAGCAAGUAUGGUGUAAUUGUAGCUAAGAUGGUCUCCAGCAAUCGAAAAUGGACGGUUUGCAAAGAUAAUAUCAUUCUUGGUGAAGCAUUCUUCUACAAGGGAUAGGGAGGAGAUAACUAGGAUUGGGCGUGAGCCGAACUGUAGGAAUAGGAUUGGUCCAUACCGGUUCGAUAGAGUCUGUAGUGUUCUGUUGAGGGGCUUCCUGAAGAGGUGAAUAUGGCCUAGGAUUGGAAGCGCAAAUGGGCUUGGUGGGAGUUUCUUAUUUGUUUGUGAAAAAACCUUGAGGACGAAGAGGAUGAACAAGGUGAGCAAGAAAUAGUAGAGAAACGCCAUAGUAAUUAGUAAUGCAAAUCAACCAACGUGGACUAGUUGAUAUACAAAAGAGUACAGUCUUGAUAAACAUAGACUCUUAAAGAGGCUGAAAGAGACUUACAUAAGCAAGUAUGUCAUUUUGCACCCUUAUUCAGGGUAGAUAAGGCUUCUGCAGUAAGUGGAUUACAUUUGUCCCUGCAAUGUGCAGCGAAGUUGGAAGCAAAUUUCAGAUUGAACUUCUCUGUUGUAUUUUUAGAAGCCACGACAUUAACGAGGUGAUGUCCCUAUCUCAUGGUAGAUGUUACUAGUUAUGUGUGGAUAAUACCCUCAGAAUUUUGCGAAAAAUUUCAGUGAUGUAAAAAUAGAAUGAGAAUGCAUAGUGCAUAGUGCAUACCACAAGCCCUCACUGCGAGUAUAUCAUAGUCAUACAGUGACAUCAUAUGGUGGAGCUGAAGGAGUGUGGACAGGGAUAUGAAGCCUCUUUGAAGGAAUGAAAACCACUGAGAGUCCAACCGAGAUUCCAUUGUACCUCUACCAUAUGUACGCACUUACCUUGACCCCUUAAAGAUAAACAUGAUAUCAAAAUGAACUGUGCUAAAUUUGUCAUUUGAGAUCUGUCCACAUUUCCUCUAUGAAUAAAGAUAAGCAUCUGAAUCUGAGGGCUUGUGGAACUAGAUAACAAAUCAUUUUGUUCUUUGAUAAAAGCUUUGUUUGUUUAUACCUAAUGAAACAUGUGGGUAGUGUUAUGUCUGCAACUCUCAAUAGUGUUCUGUGUGUAGAGGCUUGUGUUCAUUACUGUGGGCAGUUUUGUAUAUAAAGAUUGUCAGAUAAAUAUUCUGUGUACCUGUCAUCAUAUAUCCACAUUUUCUCAAUGCAGAAACAUUACCAUUUCAAUCUUGGAGACUUCUGAAUAUGAAAGCUUCAGCCAAAAGGCCCACUUUGUAAUUACUGCCACCAAUGGCGACAUACCAGUUCAGGUACGCGAUAUAGGGAAAACAGGAUUGUAAAGUUUAUGGAUCCAGCGUGGAGAAUAUAUUUCUUUAUCCUCAGAUCUGUGAUUUGAUGAACUGAUAGGUAAUAAUUUGUUACUGUAGGUACUUGUUAAAAAAGAAUUGUUACUGUAGGUUGAAGUCGCAGCCACAGUUUAUUUUUCCAAACUUUGGACGUUUACAUUAGUAGGAAUAUAUUGUUUUUGUUACAUUCUGUACUUAAUAUUACCAAAUUAGACUAGUAAUGCCAACAAAAGAAAAGGUUUUUUGUAUCCAUUUAUGAAAUUCAUAAAAAUAAAUACAGGAUUUGUUGUUGGUGGGAUUGGUUAUGUGGACCAAAAAAUCUUGGACACUAAUAACUCCACUUGAGGAAGAAUGUCUCUGGUUGAUGAAAACCAUACAAUUUGGAUCACAUUUUACCAUGGCUUAACAAGAUACGCAUAUGACAAAAACCCAUGCAAAAUAGAGGCCCACGACAAGGUGAGCGUAGAUAAUGACAUACCUUAAUAAUGUUUCACAUAAUCACAUGCACACUCUAGCAUUAAUUAGGCUCACUUCUAACCACUAAUUUCACUAACUUUAGAAUCUGUAGAUGAAAUACCAUGGAAUAUGAAACUCACAGCGUUUAGGUUAGUGCAACAAUUAUAUCAACACAGAAAGAAGAAACUACAACACUGAAACUUUCUACAAGUUUUGAACAAAAGAAGCAACAUAUUUCACACUUGAGAGAGCACAUUCACCAUGCUUGGAUGUGGCUUACACAUAGCAACCAAGGGAUUAGCCUUAGGCAUGGUAACCCCAGUGUUAGCUUCUUCCAUGUCCACUUGCUCUUGCCCAACUCUUUCCCAAUCAAAGCACUGAAUGAGUGUACCCAAAGCCAAUGUCACCACACGUAGAGCCAAGCCAGCACCAGGGCACCCUCUUCUCCCCACUCCAAAUGGCAUGAAUUUGAAUCCCAUUUCCCUUUCACUUUGUACACCUUCAAACCUCUCAGGCAUGAAUUUAGUUGGCUCUACCCACACCUUGGGGUCCCUAUGAAUGGCCCCAACAUUUGCAAACAAUAUUGUUCCACGUGGGAUACUAUAUCCUCCAACUGUGCACUGUUUUGAUGAAGAGUGUGGUACUAGAAGUGGUGCUGCUGGAUACAACCUCAGUGUCUCAUUGAUGACGCAAUGGAGGUAGGGAAGCUUCACGAGAUCAUAGUCGUCUAGUAAGCGGCCUUGGACAUUGUGGUUGAUUUCUGAGCGCACUUUUUGUAGUACAUCUGGAUGGUUGAGUAGAAGUGACAUAGCCCAUUCCAAGGUCAAGCUUGUUGUGUCUGUUCCGGCUGUAAACAUUGUCUAUCCACAAAAUGAACCAGAAUUUUAGAAAUCAGAUGCGUGGCAUGAAAGUAUUAAUUUCUGGUUCUUAAAAUAUUUUACUUUGGCCCCAACAUAUUUUGUACCUAUCUCUCUUCGUUCGUUUAUAGGGAAUCCUGCUAUAGGGAUUACUUUUCUUUUGCGAUUUGCCUAAUACAUUCAAGUUCUGAGAAGUCACUCAUGAGCAAAUCAGUUGGAGUGUUUGGACAUAUCUGAGUGUGAUAUUUAUUGACACCAGACCUAAGCCUACCUAAAAUAGAGCUAACCUCUUCUUAAUUUCAUGUUUUCAACUUAACCUCUUCUUAAUUUCAUGUUUUCAGCCUUCAGGAUUUAAAAAAGAUCUGGGAGCAAUACUUGGGAACAAUAGAAGCAGAUGAUAGUUAAUUUUGUUCUGGUAUUGGGUAGUUUGAUUGAUACCCUGCAAAUUGGAGUUGGAACCUUGGUUCCAGCUUCAAUUCGAUCAUUUUUGGAACUGAUCUAUCACAGGACAGGAAGUUGGGUAUUUAUGGUUUGAAACCUUUAACAUCAGGAACGGAGUGGGAAGUGGGAAGUGGGAAGUGGGAACUGAACAUUAACAACCUACAUAUUCCAAUUCCAUUUAGUAUACUGUAUGAAUUUAGUUCUUACCAAUAUAAUUCCUUUGAUGAAAUUAUCAGAGUACUGCUCAGGUUCGGCUUCUUGGAUGGACAAGAGGGCAUCGAUUAUGGUUGUUUUCUUCAUAUCUUCUGCUAGGGUAGUAGUUGAAGACUCGGUCUUCUUCCUCCGAAACUCGUUUAUCAAAUUCUGUGAAAACGAGUCUCUCCUUUGGUGCAACUUGAUAAUGCCCUUGUCUUCUUUAUAUAGUCCAAUCCACCUCAAAAUAGGCAAAAAGUCUCCCCAAUCUAAUAGCAUAAUUGGAACAAAUGUGUUUUUUAGAAGAACAUGAAUCCUCUUUUGUUCAUCCAAGUCCAUGAACUCUUCGAAACAUCGUUUUCCAGCUACCAACCUCAUCAUAAUAUUAAACAUAAGUUGAGAAAACAUGAACUUCAAAUCAAAAUGUUGUGAUCCACCAUUGAAUCUUCGAAACAAACUAUUAACCAGACGAUGAAUUUCUUCUUUACGGAUCUUUGCAGACAUUUGUAGACUCUUAGCUGAGAAUAUCUCAAUUGUAGUUAUGCGCCGCAUGUUCCGCCAAUGGUCCCCAUAUGGGGACGAAGCAAGUACGGUGUAAUUGUAGCUGAGAUGGUCUCCAGCAAUUGAAAAUGGACGGUUUGCAAAGAUAAUAUCAUUCUUGGUGAAGCAUUCUUCUACAAGGGAUAGGGAAGAGAUAACUAGGAUUGGGCGUGAGCCGAACUGUAGGAAUAGGAUUGGUCCAUAUCGGUUCGACAGAGUCUGUAGUGUUCUGUUGAGGGGUUUCUUGAAGAGGUGAAUAUGGCCUAGGAUUGGAAGCGCAAAUGGGCUUGGUGGGAGGUUCUUAUUUCUUUGUGAAAAAACCUUGAGGAUGAAGAGGAUGAACAAGGUGAGCAAGAAAUAGUAGAGAAACGCCAUAGUAAUUAGUAAUGCAAAAUUGCAAAUCAACCGACGUGGACUAGUUGAUAUACAAGAGAGUACAGUCUUUAUAAACAAAGACUCUGAAAGAGGUUGAAAGGGAAUUACAUAAGCAAGUAUGUCAUUUUUGCACCCUUAUUUGACUAGUUGAUAUACAAGAGAGUACAGUCUUUAUAAACAAAGACUCUGAAAGAGGUUGAAAGGGACUUACAUAAGCAAGUAUGUCAUUUUUGCACCCUUAUUUGUUCUGGGAAGAUAAGGCUUCUGCAGUGAGUGGACUAGAUUUGUCCCUGGAAUGACAAUGUGCAGCGAAGUUGGAAGCAAAAUUCAGAUUGAACUUCUCUGUUCUAUUUUUAGAAACCACAACAUUAAAGUGGUGAUGUCCCUAUCACAUGGUACAGUAGAUGUUAGUAGUAAUCUGUGGAUAAUAUCCGCAGAAUUUUGCAGAAAGAUUUCAGCGAUGUAAAAAUAUAUUGAGAAUGCAUACCACAAGUCGUCAUUGCGAGUAUGAUAUUUCCAUACAAUGGCGUCCACUGGUGGAGCCGAUGGAGUGUGGGCUGGGAUAUGGAGACCCUUUGAAGGAAUGAAAACCACUUAGAUUCCAACUGCGAUACCCUUGUAUUCCUACGGCCCUACCAUAUGUAUGCACAUACCUUGAUCCCUUAAAAUGAACUGUACUAAUUUUGUCAUUUGGGCAUCUGUUCACAUGUUCUCUAUGAAUAAAGAUAAACAUCCGAACCCGAGGGCUUGUGGAACUAGACAACAAAUCAUUUCGUUCUUUGGUAAAAGCUUUGUUUGUUUAUACCGAAUGAUACAUGUGGGUAGUUUUAUGUCAGAAACUCGCAAUAAUGUCCUGUGGGUUCAUUACUCUGAGCAGUUUUGUAUGUAAAGAUUGUCAGAUAAAUAUUCUGUGUACGUGUCAUAAUCUAUUCACAUUUUCUCAAUGCAGAAACAUUACCAGUUUCACUCUUGGAGGCUUCUGAAUAUGAAAGCUUCAGCCAAGGCCCACCUUAUAACCACUGCCACCAAUGGCCACAUACCAGUUCAGGUACUGCUAUAUAGGGAAAACAAGAUUGUAAAGUUUAUCGAUCCAGCAUGGAGAAUAUAUUUCUCUAUGGUCGGAUCUGUGUAUUGAUGAACUGAUUGGUAAUAAUUUGUUACUGUAGCCUGUAGGUACUUGUCAAAAAAAAAUUGUUACUGUAGGUUAAAGUCUC